This 75-nucleotide transfer RNA is filed under the name Bacillota bacterium. Its description in RNAcentral is "tRNA-Arg". It matches the Rfam family "tRNA". Rfam says of the family: Transfer RNA (tRNA) molecules are approximately 80 nucleotides in length. RNAcentral also lists the same sequence under 2 other names. Lineage: Bacteria; Bacillati; Bacillota. The record is from RNAcentral.
GCCCCCAUAGUUAAAUGGAUAUAACAAGCCCCUCCUAAGGGCUAGUUAUGAGUUCGAUUCUCGUUGGGGGUGCCA